UGAAAAUGAAAUGGAAAGCGGAAAGAAUCAAUCUUUAAGCCUUUAAACGAAAUGGGUGUUUGUGUCUGUGCCGUGUACGAUACAAUUGCCAAAAACGGAAAAGAAAGUAAUAUUAGUCGUCCGGAGCGACGCAAUAUAUAAGGUAUGUACUCCAAAGAAUUAUUGUUUGCGCUUAUGCUCCAAAGAAAUGGCAAAGAAAAACGACAUGGCUGAAAAUAGAAAUGGAAGGGAUGAAGGGAAGGAGGAGGUGGUUAAGGGGUGCGAGUGAGCAUUGUUUCUCUUUCUUUCUCUAACAGGCAGAUGCAGAGUGUGAGAGUAGCUCCAAAAACGCCCACCACAAGAAGCUCAGUGUACGUGUGUCUGGGACACAAUUGUCGGCAUUGAUUUCUGUACUGCUUGGCAUGGAAUUAAUGCCUUCUUUGGUUAUAGUGAAACGACUUCGUUUUUAGCAUGCAUUUUUCCCUAAAAAAUGUUAUAUUUAUGGAACAAAGCAGAGUGUUUCAAAAAGUUUUUGUUUUGUAAAUUAUCCUACUGAGGUAAAGAUGGGCUUUCCAGAUUCUAGUUUUUUUUUUUUUUUUUAACCGCCCCCUCCCCCCCCAAUUUCAUUCAGCAAAUGAGAUUUAUCCAUAAGCAUUAAUCUGGAAUUGAGCAUAACUUGGGGUUUCUCAUUGGCUGAAUCAAUUUCACCAUUAUCACCAAUUUCAGUGCUUAGAGUCCGCGUGUUGUGUUGCACAGAACUGGAAGCAUCAUCACCCUUAUAAUGUUCCUCUAGUGAAUUUCUCACUCCUUUAUUUUGCGUUUGAUCAUUUACCGAACUUACUUCCUCAACUCGAUUGCUUUUCUCUUCACUUUCUUGCUCUUCACCUCCCACAUCCCUCUCCCGAUCAUCUACAUCAAUCAAAUCUUCUACUUCAUCAGAUUCUUCCUCUUCUGCUCGAUCUUGAUCAUGUCCAUCAAUCUCAUCAUCUCCACCGCCUCUUCCAUCAUCUUCAACAUCUUCGGGCUUAAUCUCUUCAAUCUCUUCUUCAAAUUCUGCUUUAUCCCCUUGGCUUUCUGCCAAAGAAGUUGCUUCAUCAACUCGAGGAUGCAGGCCUUUCCUCCCAAGUUUUAUAUUUUCAUGCCCAUUUUGCUCCAUUUCUGAUAUAUUUCCAGUGCUAUCCUCAUAUUCCUUUUUCGCAUUGUACGAGUUCUUGAGUUGGUUAAGCAACCAGAAGCAAAUUGCAAGCAACAGACAUAUCUGAAGAAAAUGUUUCACCUUAAAGCCUCUGGACCUCAGAUUUCUAGUAGGUUGUAGCUUCAACAUACUCGCCUGCUAAAAUCUGUGUAAGUCCUUCCAAACUAUGAAUGCAAACAAAAACCAGAACAAACUAAAUCAAAACAAAAUAAACCAGAACAAUCAACAUAACUAAGGCAAGAUUAUUGUUUGUUUGGUCCCAAAUGACAAAACAAGGAACGGAUAUUGCACAUGGGCAAUACCUGAAUACCAUAUAACCCUGCAUCAUUAAGUUUGGAGGGCGAAAAAACAGAUAAACUCCAGCUUCUUCGCCUACUCAGUGGGCAAGAAAGAACUUGGCUACGUGUUUGGUGAUUAUUCAAUAACAUUAUAUCAUCAUGAAAUAUAGAUUGAGAUCUUUCAUUAUACGCAUCCAAUUAUAUAAGCACCAUAAUUAAGUUGAAAGGCAUUUGGAGCUGAAUUAGAAUACUGGAAGCAAGGGACAAGUAUUACCUUUCCAACUUCCAAGCACAAAAACUAGAAACUUGGCUCAAUCCCAGGUUCAUUUAUAGACAAACAGACAAAGUGCACAAAGCCAUAAUUGGAAAAACAGGAACUAAGGAUAGAGAAAAAGGCAAAGUAAGUAAGAUUACAAAAUUAAUCAGACAGAUACCGAAAUGAUUAGAACGAGCAAUCCAAUUAAAAGAUCAUAAAAUGCAGCAAAAUCGCAAAACUCAAACAAGAUCAUUGAAAAGAAAAGAAAUACAGGUGAGAGAGAAAAGAGGGUACCAGUAAGAAAACUGAACUUCAGAUCCGUGAAAAUGAAAUGGAAAGCGGAAAGAAUCAAUCUUUAAGCCUUUAAACGAAAUGGGUGUUUGUGUCUGUGCCGUGUACGAUACAAUUGCCAAAAACGGAAAAGAAAGUAAUAUUAGUCGUCCGGAGCGACGCAAUAUAUAAGGUAUGUACUCCAAAGAAUUAUUGUUUGCGCUUAUGCUCCAAAGAAAUGGCAAAGAAAAACGACAUGGCUGAAAAUAGAAAUGGAAGGGAUGAAGGGAAGGAGGAGGUGGUUAAGGGGUGCGAGUGAGCAUUGUUUCUCUUUCUUUCUCUAACAGGCAGAUGCAGAGUGUGAGAGUAGCUCCAAAAACGCCCACCACAAGAAGCUCAGUGUACGUGUGUCUGGG
Molecule: long non-coding RNA, 2394 nt
Filed under: Jatropha curcas
Lineage: Eukaryota; Viridiplantae; Streptophyta; Magnoliopsida; Malpighiales; Euphorbiaceae
Description: long non-coding RNA (JCUR_LNC000890)
Source: RNAcentral